RNAcentral lists this transfer RNA (74 nucleotides) under Candidatus Epulonipiscium sp. RNAcentral's name for it is "tRNA-Met". It matches the Rfam family "tRNA". Rfam says of the family: Transfer RNA (tRNA) molecules are approximately 80 nucleotides in length. The record is from RNAcentral. Lineage: Bacteria; Bacillati; Bacillota; Clostridia; Lachnospirales; Lachnospiraceae.
CGCGGAGUGGAGCAGUAUGGCAGCUCGUCGGGCUCAUAACCCGGAGGUCAGAGGUUCAAAUCCUCUCUCCGCAA